AGAGUUUGAUCCUGGCUCAGGAUGAACGCUGGCGGCGUGUCUAAGGCAUGCAAGUCGAACGGAUCAACGGAGUCAGCAAUGAUUUUGUUGGUUAGUGGCAAACGGGUGAGUAACACAUUAGCAACCUGCCCCGGAGUUCGGGAUAACGGUCCGAAAGGACCGCUAAUACCGGACGUGAUCCAAGGAUGAUGUCCUUGGAGGAAAGCCCAAAAGGCGCUUCGGGAGGGGCUUAUGGCUUAUCAGCUAGUUGGUGAGGUAAUGGCUCACCAAGGCUAUGACGAGUAGCAGGCGUGAGAGCGCGACCUGCCUCAGUGGAACUGAGACACUGUCCACACUCCUACGGGAGGCUGCAGUCGAGAAUCUUCCCCAAUGGGCGAAAGCCUGAGGGAGCGACGCCGCGUGCGGGAUGAAGGGCUUCGGCCUGUAAACCGCUUUUAUUCGGGAAGAAGCGCAAGCUGACGGUACCGAAUGAAUAAGAGGUUGCUAACUCUGUGCCAGCAGCAGCGGUAAUACAGAGACCUCAAGCGUUAUCCGGAUUUAUUGGGCGUAAAGCGUCCGCAGGUGGUUCGUUCAGUCAUUGGUCAAAUCCUGGGGCUCAACCCCAGAACUGCCGAUGAUACUGGCGGACUUGAGACCGGUAGAGGCAAGCGGAAUUACUGGUGUAGCGGUAAAAUGCGUUUAUAUCAGUAAGAACACCAAAGGCGAAAGCAGCUUGCUGGAACGGUUCUGACACUCAUGGACGAAAGCGUGGGGAGCGAAAAGGAUUAGAUACCCUUGUAGUCCACGCCCUAAACGAUGUGUGCUGGAUAUUGAAAGUAUCGACCCUUUCAGUGUCGUCAAAAAAGCUAACGCGUUAAGCACACCGCCUGGGAAGUACGGUCGCAAGACUAAAACUCAAAGGAAUAGACGGGGACCCGCACAAGCGGUGGAACAUGUGGUUUAAUUCGACGGUAAACGAAGAACCUUACCAGGGCUUGAAAUUGUAGGAGUAUAUCCUGUGAAAGCGGGAUGGACCGUUAAAUCGGAUCCUAUGACAGGUGCUGCAUGGUUGUCGUCAGCUCGUGCCGUGAGGUGUACCCUUAAGUGGGGUAACGAGCGCAACCCCUGUGUAGUGUUGCAAUUUUCACUACAGACUGCCUCGGUCAACGAGGAGGAAGGCGGGGAUGACGUCAAAUCAGCAUGGCCCUUACGUCCUGGGCUACACACGUGUUACAAUGGUUGGUACAAUGGGCAGCCAAGUCGCAAGACGGAGCUAAUCCCACCAAAGCCAAUCUCAGUUCGGAUCGAAGUCUGCAACUCGACUUCGUGAAGCUGGAAUCGCUAGUAAACGCCGGUCAGCUAUACGGCGUUGAAUACGUUCUCGGGUCUUGUACUCACCGCCCGUCAAGCCAAGAGAGUCGGCAAUACCUGACGCGGCCCUUUGGGGUCACCAAGGUAGGGUCGAUGAUAGGGGCUAAGUCGUAACAAGGUAACC
This 1474-nucleotide ribosomal RNA is filed under the name uncultured bacterium. RNAcentral's name for it is "16S ribosomal RNA". It matches the Rfam family "Bacterial small subunit ribosomal RNA". The record is from RNAcentral.